Molecule: ribosomal RNA, 253 nt
Filed under: uncultured bacterium
Lineage: Bacteria
Description: partial 16S ribosomal RNA
Rfam family: Bacterial small subunit ribosomal RNA
Source: RNAcentral
UACGGGGGGUGCGAGCGUUGUCCGGAAUCACUGGGCGUAAAGGGCGCGUAGGUGGCCUGAUAAGGGUGUGGUGAAAGUCCGGGGCUUAACCCCGGAUCUGACGUGCCGACUGUUAGGCUAGAGUGCUGUAGGGGCAGGCGGAAUUCCGGGUGUAGCGGUGGAAUGCGUAGAGAUCCGGAGGAAGACCGGUGGCGAAGGCGGCCUGCUGGGCAGAUACUGACACUGAGGCGCGACAGCGUGGGGAGCAAACAGG